CCGCGAAUGGCUCAUUACAACAGCUAUAAUUUACUUGAUGUUGACUAUCCUACUUGGAUAACUGCGGUAAUUCUGGAGCUAAUACAUGCAUCAAAGCUCUGACACCCUCGGAGCGCAUUUAUUAGAACAAAACCAAUCGGCUUUGGCCGUUUGUUGUUGACUCUGAAUAACUUAGCUGAUCGCAUGGUCUUGUACCGGCGACAUAUCUUUCAAGUAUCUGCCUUAUCAACUUUCGAUGGUAGUUUAUGUGCCUACCAUGGUUGCAACGGGUAACGGAAAAUAAGGGUUUGAUUCCGGAGAGGGAGCCUGAGAAACGGCUACCACAUCUAAGGAAGGCAGCAGGCGCGCAAAUUACCCACUGGAGGUGCUCCGAGGUAGUGACUAACAAUAACGAGACCGUCUUCUAUGAGGCCGGUUAUCGGAAUGGGUACAAUUUAAACCCUUUAACGAGGAUCUAUGAGAGGGCAAGUCUGGUGCCAGCAGCCGCGGUAAUUCCAGCUCUCAAGGUGUAUAUCCCUAUUGCUGCGGUUAAAAAGCUCGUAGUUGGAUCUCCGCCUCAGGACGUGGUCCGCCUUUAGGUGUGUACUGCGAUCCUAGGCAGUUACUGCUGGUUUUCAGCCGGUGGCCUUAACUGGUUGCCGGUUGUGGCUAGCGAGUUUACCUUGAGUAAAUCAGAUUGCUCAAGAAAGGCGUUUCGCCUGAAUGUUUGUGCAUGGAAUAAUGGAAUAGGACUUCGGUUCUGUUUUGUUGGUUUUCUGAACUGAAGUAAUGAUUAAGAGGAACAGACGGGGGCAUUCGUAUCGCUGCGUGAGAGGUGAAAUUCUUGGACCGCAGCGGGACGCCCAACAGCGAAAGCAUUUGCCAAGAAUGUUUUCAUUAAUCAAGAACGAAAGUCAGAGGAUCGAAGGCGAUC
This 913-nucleotide ribosomal RNA is filed under the name Poikilolaimus oxycercus. RNAcentral describes it as "SSU rRNA". It matches the Rfam family "Eukaryotic small subunit ribosomal RNA", at positions 87 to 1009 of the family's 1831-position model. Lineage: Eukaryota; Metazoa; Nematoda; Chromadorea; Rhabditida; Rhabditidae. The record is from RNAcentral.